Molecule: ribosomal RNA, 640 nt
Filed under: Lactiplantibacillus plantarum
Lineage: Bacteria; Bacillati; Bacillota; Bacilli; Lactobacillales; Lactobacillaceae
Description: bacterial SSU rRNA
Rfam family: Bacterial small subunit ribosomal RNA
Source: RNAcentral
UCUGGUAUUGAUUGGUGCUUGCCUCACGAUUUACAUUUGAGUGAGUCGUGACUGGUGAGUAACACGUGGGACACCUGCCCAGAAGCGGGGGAUAACACCUGGAAACAGAUGCUAAUACCGCAUAACAACUUGGACCGCAUGGUCCGAGUUUGAAAGAUGGCUUCGGCUAUCACUUUUGGAUGGUCCCGCGGCGUAUUAGCUAGAUGGUGGGGUAACGGCUCACCAUGGCAAUGAUACGUAGCCGACCUGAGAGGGUAAUCGGCCACAUUGGGACUGAGACACGGCCCAAACUCCUACGGGAGGCAGCAGUAGGGAAUCUUCCACAAUGGACGAAAGUCUGAUGGAGCAACGCCGCGUGAGUGAAGAAGGGUUUCGGCUCGUAAAACUCUGUUGUUAAAGAAGAACAUAUCUGAGAGUAACUGUUCAGGUAUUGACGGUAUUUAACCAGAAAGCCACGGCUAACUACGUGCCAGCAGCCGCGGUAAUACGUAGGUGGCAAGCGUUGUCCGGAUUUAUUGGGGCGUAAAGCGAGCGCAGGCGGUUUUUUAAGUCUGAUGUGAAAGCCUUCGGCUCAACCGAAGAAGUGCAUCGGAAACUGGGAAACUUGAGUGCAGAAGAGGACAGUGGAACUCCAUGUGUA